AGAAGACCCUGUGGAACUUUAAAAACAGCAACCACCCCAAUAUACAUCCACACCCAAGGCACUGGUUUGCAUUUUUUCGGUUGGGGCAACCUUGGAGCAAAAAAGAACCUCCAAAAAUGGGACCAUACAUCCAAACUAAGAGCAACGUCUCGAAGUGCAAAAAGCACCCAGAUCCAAUAUAAUUGAUCAAUGGACCAAGCUACCCCAGGGAUAACAGCGCAAUCUCCUCCAAGAGUCCAUAUCGACGGGGAGGUUUACGACCUCGAUGUUGGAUCAGGACAUCCUAGUGGUGCAGCCGCUACUAAGGGUUCGUUUGUUCAACGAUUAACAGUCCUACGUGAUCUGAGUUCAGACCGGAGUAAUCCAGGUCGGUUUCCAUCUAUGAUGAACUCUUCCCCGUACGAAAGGAUAGGAAAAGUGAGGCCAAUACCACAGGCAAGCCUUCGCCUUAAGUAAUGAAAUCAACUCAACUACGAAAGGCUAUCCCACCCCCCACGUCCAAGAAAAGGACAUCA
This 515-nucleotide ribosomal RNA is filed under the name Eremopterix signatus. RNAcentral describes it as "partial 16S ribosomal RNA". It matches the Rfam family "Bacterial large subunit ribosomal RNA", at positions 2083 to 2855 of the family's 2925-position model. The record is from RNAcentral. Lineage: Eukaryota; Metazoa; Chordata; Aves; Passeriformes; Alaudidae.